GGAUUGUGGCUCAGUGGUUGAGCGCUUGCCUAGCAUGUGUGAAGCACUGGGUUUGAAUCUCAGCACCA
RNAcentral lists this transfer RNA (68 nucleotides) under Marmota monax (woodchuck). RNAcentral describes it as "tRNA.Ala". The record is from RNAcentral. Lineage: Eukaryota; Metazoa; Chordata; Mammalia; Rodentia; Sciuridae.